This is a non-coding RNA of Tetranychus urticae (two-spotted spider mite), 2748 nucleotides long. NCBI's taxonomy places the organism in Eukaryota, Metazoa, Arthropoda, Arachnida, Trombidiformes, Tetranychidae. The record is from RefSeq and is a predicted model, not a curated record.
GGAAUUAAAUGAUUUCUUUCUUAGUUAAUUUAUUUUAUUGAAGGAUCAACUUGUUAGCUAAUAGAGUGUGUGGCUCUUUUCACCGCCCUCUUUUGUCUUCUUUUGUCUUAACUCAAAGAGCAAAGCUAUUUCCAUCGACAACUUUCAGUUUUCUGUAACAAAGUAAUUCAAAGUUUAAUCUCUAGUUUGAACCAGUUUUAUUUAGUUAUAUUGCAUCUUCAAGAUUAAAUAUUAUCGAUAGUCUUGUUAUAUUUCAUUAUCAUUUCCAUGGAGUAUCCAAUUUAAAGUGGCAAUUUGUGAUUUCUUCAUAUUUCUUCUAAUAUUAAUUGGCAAUCUAUUAAAUCAACUCUUUUAUCUGAUUUCACGAUGAUCCCCAUUUCUUGGAUAAUUAUGAUUAAUUGGUCUCUUUUUUUACAUGAUUUACAGCCUAUUGUGUCCUUCAAGGCAGGCUAGAAGGCAAUCUACUUGUGAGGCUGUUGAUUUAUCAAAGAAAAUUAUACUUGCUCAAUAAUAUUUAGAUGUUUGUCGAUCAAAGUCUGACCAGGGAGAGACGACAGAGAGGAUCUUCAACAACCUGAAUUGGAAUACGUUAUCUGAUGUUCAACUGUCAAUCAUCAGUUCGGCCAACAGUCAAAUCAAACCAAGGGUUAGGCCUGGAUCCUGAGGAACUGUAGUUUCAACUUUAAGGCAAAUUGGGAAUCUUGAUUGCAUCAAUUUUUAUCAUCAUUAUCAUCAUGAUCGUCAUCAUCAACCUAAAGAGCAACAAAAGCACCAAUUGUUUUCAUCUGAGGAAUAAAAGGGAUCAACUUAAAGCAAAUCAACAUCAUCUUGUUAACUUUUUAACAUGAUGUUUGCGGUUAAUAGCCAAAAAUCAAAUAAUCAAGAUCAAAGUUGAUUAAGCUCUUACAAUUUGGCUCUCUCUCUCUCCCUCCUGGAUUCUUAAUAGUGUUGAUACUGUUAAACUCAACAUGUUUUGAGACAAUUUAACCCUGAAUAGGCCUCAAUUUAACUAUUAAAGGGUGUUCUUGCCUGUUCUAAUCUUUCAACUUUGCUUUAAAAGAUUCACUGAACAGGUUUGUUCCCUAAGGUUAUCUUGAAGACUUGCCCAAGGCCUGAUGCACAAAAAAAGCCAAAAGAGAUGAUGUUCAUGAAAAGCUAUUAGGUUGACCGAGAUUCCAAUGAGUGAUUGUAUUUUGCACUGGAUUUUGGAAACAAAAAAGAAGAGUAUCAUGAUCAUGAUAGAAGCCGAUAAUAAUAACAUUUUCGAUGAAAUGAGCAAUGCGGGUUUUGAAAGGGCAGUUCAGACUCAUUUAAUUGGAUUUAAUACCCAAAAAGAGCCAUUCCAAACAAUAGUUGAUGCCAAAAGUGACCAUCUUGAUUUGUGCCCGUUGAAAGUAAACAAUCAAUCGUUUUGUUUAUCAAGCAAACGGAACAAUAUUAGAAUGAUUUAAUCUUUUAAUCAUGAAUAUAGCUGAUGAUAAAGAUCAAAAUGAAGAGUUUUUGGAGAAAUCUCAUUAACAACAUUUCCCAUACAGUUGAAUCAGAAGCCAUCAGAAGCAAUCUUGAAACAAACCUGAUGAUGAUUAUCAAAUUUAAAUUUAAAUUUUACUCAUUUGAUGCAGCCAAAAUUGCUCUUGAAAUUGAAUUUAAUCACAGCCAAAUAAUCAUGAAAUAUGUUUGACAAUUGGGGUUGAUUAAUAUGCUAAAAGUAAAUCACCAAGCUUUACUUUUGUACCUCCAAUGGUCACCUCACCAUAUAAUUAACUCUCAUGAAUCAUUUCUAAUCAUGGUUUCAAGGCAUUUCAAUUCUUCAUGCAGACCCGCAAAGAGUUAACAUGUAAAACCGUAAACCAUCCAAAUUAAAUAAGAUAAUCAUGUUAACCAAACCUCACACAAUCAUAAGGCAACUGUUGAAAAUUAAAGGUUUGAUUGUAAUCAAAAGUAAACCUGACCAAGAUAUGGCAAGACAAUUGACAUUAUUGAUUAAGUGUCACGUCAAACAGUUGUAUCAAAUUGUUUGAUCAAAAAAUGUCAGCCAAAAGACGAAAGUCAAUUAAUCAAGCAAGAUGAAGAUUUACCGAUUAAAUCAACACCAGGCCAUCAUGAUAAUCAUUUAUUUACACUUAAUGUUACAAUUGCAAUGUUAACAACUUUAAAUUUUCAAUUUAAACAUUUACUUUUUUGCCCAUCUAAUGAAUUCAAUUGCCAGACCAUAGCAACAACCAAAAGCUAAACAAAAGCCCGAAAAAAUCGCAUCAACCAAAUUUAUAAUUCAUUAAAGACUUUCAACUGAUUAAACGCACGGAAACACAAAUUGAGUUAAAAAUGACCGCAAAACAAAAGUCCAAUUCACAGCAACAUUAAAAGCUAUUAAAAGCCGGACAAAAGCAUAAACCAAAUUGAAUCUUAAUGAUGUGAGAAUGUCAUCGAUUGUGACAAUUUAACUUUAAGUUAUCAAUCAAUUGACAUUUCCAAACAUUUGUCAUUAACUUCAACCUUAACCAUGAAAUGGUGUAAAGCAAUUAAGAGUCAACAGUAAAGUUGCUUAAAGGUUCAACAGUUGAACCAUCAAACAAAAUAAAAUCUAAUUGUAACAAUUAAAAGGUAAAAGGCUAAAAAUUGCCUUUGAAAUGUUGAGUGAUUUAGAUUUUUUGCCGAGAUGGAAAAGUUUACCUUAAAAAAAAGAGCUGAGCAAAACUCAUUUUUACCCAUUUUCAUGGUUUCAACAUUAAAGUCAUUCCUUUAUCA